GAUGAACGCUGGCGGCGUGCCUAAUACAUGCAAGUCGAGCGAACAGAUAAGGAGCUUGCUCCUUUGACGUUAGCGGCGGACGGGUGAGUAACACGUGGGUAACCUACCUAUAAGACUGGGAUAACUUCGGGAAACCGGAGCUAAUACCGGAUAACAUUUGGAACCGCAUGGUUCUAAAGUGAAAGAUGGUUUUGCUAUCACUUAUAGAUGGACCCGCGCCGUAUUAGCUAGUUGGUAAGGUAACGGCUUACCAAGGCGACGAUACGUAGCCGACCUGAGAGGGUGAUCGGCCACACUGGAACUGAGACACGGUCCAGACUCCUACGGGAGGCAGCAGUAGGGAAUCUUCCGCAAUGGGCGAAAGCCUGACGGAGCAACGCCGCGUGAGUGAUGAAGGGUUUCGGCUCUUAAAACUCUGUUAUUAGGGAAGAACAAACGUGUAAGUAACUGUGCACGUCUUGACGGUACCUAAUCAGAAAGCCACGGCUAACUACGUG
This 497-nucleotide ribosomal RNA is filed under the name uncultured bacterium. RNAcentral describes it as "partial 16S ribosomal RNA". It matches the Rfam family "Bacterial small subunit ribosomal RNA", at positions 28 to 507 of the family's 1533-position model. The record is from RNAcentral.